AGCCUUAGGGAAACUUGUUAAAAUACCACAGUGACCAAGAAUUCUACAUUCACAGGUUGAGCUUCAUAAAUUCUUGGCUCCAGAAAUCAAGACCUGCUGAUGAAGUGAGCUCCUGCUGGUUCAAUAAGGACAUUCCAAAAAGAAUCUAGGUUUGGGAUGCUGAGGAUAUGAGUCACUGCCUUGGAAGAUCCAGAUAUCUUGUUAACAAAGCUUUUUAAAGUCAGGGAGGAAAGCCCCAAAUUGAGUUAAAGGAAAUAUUUCAAUUUCAGUUUACGGAGUACUUCUAAAUGAAGGGGAAAUGUCAGAGAAUUAUUGUUUUCACUGUCAUAAGAUAAUGUCCUCUAAAAAAGUUGAAUUUGGAACAGUUCAUGAAAAUAAUCUGAAGGGCAUCAUCAUAAAUCUGGGAAGUUAUUUCCUGUUUUUAGCUGGUUUGGCUUAAAAUUGAAUUGUAGUCCAUAAAAAUGAAUGCCAGGUCUAAUUUUUAUUUGGCUCUCAGAGUCCCUUUUUUCAAUAAACUCAUUCCAUUUCAAAUUACUUCUAUCUAAGCUAAAUUAUUCAUAAGACAGGUUAUAGUUGAUCUUUCAUGUGGUUGAUCUUACUAUCCGUGAAUUAUUUUUCUAUGUUAUCAUCUUCUGUUUUUGUUUUACUCACAUGCAACUUGAAUCCUCCCAAGAGCUGGUGGGGAGGGAGGGGCGGAUGCCACGUAAACCUACCGUUAAUUGCCUCUCUUCCUUCUUCUGGCGAAUGUUUGAUUCAGCUACAAAAGCAAGUUCAUAUGUUCACUCAGCAAACAUUGUUGAGUAUCACUGUUUUCAAGGAGUGUACUCUCAGAAAGGAAAUAAUUAUACACUGUACACAAACAAUUUAAGGCAGGAUGUGGCACAACAAACUAGAAGAAUCUUGAGGAGGACCUAUUUUAUCCAGGAAAUGGAGGAAAAGAGUUUCAAGGUGGGGAGGGCAUACUAAGAAGAACCACAUGGGCAAAGUCAAGGAGGUAGGAAAGCAAAGAAUAUCUUUUGUUCCUGUUUUUGUUUUUGUCAUUUUAGGGCUGCACCUGAGGCAUAUGGAAACUCCCAGGUUAGGGCUCCAACCAGAGCUGUAGCUACAGGCCUAUACCACAGCCACAGCCACAACCACAGCAAUGUGGGAUCUGAGCCAUGUCUGUGACCUAUACCACAGCUCCCCACAACAAUGGCUCCUUAACUCACUGAGCGAGGCCAGGAAUCAAACCCACAUCCUCAUGGAUAGUAGUCAGGUUUGUUACCACUGAGCCACAGCGGGAAUACUUUUGGAGUAGGCAGUGAGCCAUCACUGAAAUUUUUAGCCUGGGUCAUAUGCAUGCUCAGAGCAUCCAUUUGGAAUAGCAACAGUGGAUACUUAUUGAGGGCUUCUAAGUUUCUAGGCACUGGACUACCCAGCAGUGGACAAAACAAACAAAAUCCCUGACUUCAUGGAGCUUAUACUCUAGGAGAAAAUGAUAAUCAAUAAAAAACCAAAACAAAUAAAACAUAUAGCAAUUUAGUUAUAAUAAAAAAACAAAUAAAACUAUGUAAAAAGCUAGAAGGGGAAAGGAGUUGUGUCCAUGCCUGAUGCAUUAAAGAGAGUGGUUGGGGAAGGCUUCCAUCAAAGGUUACAUUCCAGCUAAGGCCUGAAGUGAGAGCUUGAGCUCUGUGGACUAAAUGGCAGCAGCAAAAACAAAGGCUCCCUGGUGGGAAUAUGUUUGGAAUGUCAGGGGAACAGCAAGAAGGCCUGUGUGCCUGGAGCUGGAUGAGUGAGGGUGAAGAGGAGGGAGUGACGCUAGAGGUGGGGCCUGAUCAUGGAGCCUUAAUCACCACUUUGGCUUUUACUUUGAGAUAGGAAGUUCCAUUGGAAGGUUUGAAGAGAUGAGUCUCAUGACCUGACGUAAGACUUUAUGGCCACUCUGGCUGACCGGAAGAUUAUUUACCCCAAAGAUUCUAACUACAUUGUUUUAAGGAAGGGCCUGAGCAUCUUAGUAUUAAAAGAGUCCCAGAUUGAGUACCACAUUGAGCAGCACUCCUCUAGAGCUUGCAAUGUGUUCUCACAUUAAUUCCCUUAAUUUGAGUCUCUCAACAACCCUAUGCAAUGUGUAGUGAGGAAACUAAGGCUCAGAGAGGCUUAUGUGACUUUCAAGGACACAUGGCAUGGAGGGUGUGUAGCUAAGAUUUAAACCUAAGUUGUUCACCCUCACACCAAGCACAAAAAUAAACUCAAAAUGGCUUAAAGACAAACGUAGGACAAGACACCAUCAAAUUCCUAGAAGAGAACAUAGGCAAAACAUCCUCUGACAUCAACCUUACAAAUGUUUUCUUAGAGCAGUCUCCCAAGGCAACAGAAAUAGAAUCAAAAAUAAACCAAUGAAACUUAAUCAAACUGACAAGAUUUUGCACAGCAAAGGAAGCCAUAAAAAAAAAAAAAAAAAAAAAGACAACCUGCAGAAUGGGAGAAAAUAGUUUCAAAUGAUGCAACCGACAAGGGCUUAAUCUCUAAAAUAUACAAACUUAUACAACUCAACAGCAAAAAAACCGACAACCCAAUUGAAAAAUGGGCAAAAGACCUGAAUAGAUAUUUCUCCAAAGAUAUAUGGAUGGCCAAAAAACACAUGAAAAAAUGCUCAACAUCACUGAUUAUUAGAGAAAUGCAAAUCAAAACUACUAUGAUGUAUCACCUCACACCAGUCAGAAUGGCCAUCACUAAUAAAUCCACAAAUAACAAAUGCUGGAAAGGGUGUGGAUAAAAGGCAACCCUCUUACACUGUUGGUGGGAAUGUAAAUUGGUACAACCACUAUGGAAAACAGUUUGUAGGUAUCUCUGAAAACUAUAGAACUACCAUACGACCCAGCAAUCCCAUUCUUGGGCAUAUAUCCAGACAAAACUUUCCUUGAAAAAGAUAUGUGCACUCAUAGGUUCUUUGCAGCACUAUUCACAAUAGCCAAGACAGGGAAACAGCCUAAAUGUCCAUCAAUAAUGAAUGGAUUAAGACGUGGUAUAUAUACACAAUUGAAUACUACUCAGCCAUAAAAAGGAACAAAAUAAUGCCAUUGCAGCAACAUGGGUAGAACUGAAGACUCUCAUACUAAGUGAAGCAAGUCGAAAGAGAAAGACAAAUUCCACAUGAUAUCAAAAGUCUGGAAUCUAUUAUAUGGCACAAAUGAACCCACAGGAAAGAAACAUGUGGACUUGGAUAACAGACUUGUUGUUGCCAAAGGGGAGGGGGAGGGAGUGGGAUGGACUGGGAAUUUGGGGUUAAUAGAUGCAAACUGUUGCAUUUGGAGUGGAUAAGCAAUGAGAUCCUGCUCUAUGGCACUGGGAACUACAUCUAGUCACUUGUGAUGGAGCAUGAUGUAUAAUGUGAGAAAAAGAAUGGGUGUGUGUGUGUGUGUGUGUGUGUGAGAGAGAGAGAGAGAGAGACUGAGUCACUUUGCUGUACAGUAGAAAAUUGACAGAACAUUGUAAACCAACUAUAAUGGAAAAAAAUUAAAUCAUUUACAAAAAAAUAAACCUAAGCUGUUGUCUCUUAGUCUAGCAGUGAUCUUUCCAUCACACCACUGAUCCUUUCGGUGAGAACUUUGUUUCUAUCAUUUUGCCCAUAAUAUAUAGGAAUUUUUGUGAAUUUAUCAUACAUGGUACAAAUAUGCAGGUAUUAUGUCUGAUAGUUUUUGGUUAAUACUAUCUUUAUGCAGCACUGAUUCCAUGGUCUGUCAUCUUAACUCCCCUCUUGCCAUUAGAUCGUGUUACUUUUUUGCCAAGAAAUAAAAAAAAAAGGAUAUAUAUUCAACUUCAUCUAUGUUCUGUUCUUGUUAUUUGCCCAAAAUGUCAAAUUCCCAUUGAUGCAACCACUAUGGAAAACAGUAUAAAAGUUCUUGAAAAAAUUUAAAAAUAGAAUUACCACACGAUCCAGCAAUCCCAUUUCUGGAUAUCUAGUCAAAGGAAACAAAAUCACUAUCUUUUUUGUUUGUUUGUUUGUUUGUUUGUUUGUUUGUUUUAGCAUAUGAGGUUCCCAGGCUAGGGGUCUAAUCUGAGCUACAGCUGCCAGCCUACACCAGAGCCACAGCAACACCAGAUCCUUAACCCACUGAGCAAGGCCAGAGAUCAAACCCACAACCUCAUGGUUUCUAGUCGGAUCCGUUUCUGCUGCACUAUGAUGGGGACUCCCAAAAUCACUAUCUUGAAAAGAUAGCUACACCCCACUGUUCAUGGCUGCAUUAUUAACAAUAGACAAGACAGGUAAACAACCUAAGUGUUUGGAGUUCCCAACGUGGCUCAAUGGUUAACAAAUCCGAUUAGGAACCAUGAGGUUGUGGGUUCAAUCUCUGGUGGGUGGGUUAAGGAUCCGCCGUUGCCGUGAGCUGUGGCAUAGGUUGCAGACGCACCUCAGAUCUAGUGUUGCUGUGGCUGUAGUGUGGGCCGGUGGCUACAGCUCUGAUUGGACCCUAGCCUGGAAACCUCCAUAUGCCGCAGGUGUGGCCCUAGAAAAAAAGGCAAACAAACAAACAAACAAAAAAACACAGAAGUGUUUAUUGAUGAAUGAAUAAAAGAGAUGUGAUAUACAUAUAUAGGAAUAUUAUUCAUUAAAAAGAAGGAAAUUCUGCUAUUUUAAACAACAUGGCUGGACUUGAGGACAUUAUGCUAAGUGAAAGAAGUCAGACAGAGGAAGACAAAUACAGUAUGAUAUCACUUGUAUGUGAAAUCUUUAAAGCCCAAACUCAUAAAUACAGAGAACAUAUUGGUGGUUUGCAGAGAUGUGAUGAUGGAUGUUAACUAAACUCACUGUGGUAAUCACUUUGUAAGAUAUACAUAUAUCAAAUUCUUAUGUUGCACACGUUAAACUAAUACAAUGUUAUACAUCGAUUAUAGCUCAAUUUUAAAAACUGUCAAAUUCCUAUUUCACUUUUUUGCAACCCUAAACUUGGUAUGGCUCCCCACCAGGUGAUCUCACUGGUAACUAUCAUAUCUAAUCAGCAUAACUGUGUAAGUUACAAAAACAAGAAAUGCCCAUCAGAGUUAUUUUUAAUGUACAGGUAUACACUUUUAAAUAUAAGCAGACAUUUUGGGAGUUCCUGUGGUGGCUCAGUGGUAAUGAAUACGACUAGUGUCCAUGAGGAUGCAAGUUCAAUCCCUGGCCUCUCUCAGUGGGUUGAGGAUCAGGCACUGCUGUGAGCUGUGGUGUAUGUUGGCAGCUGAAGCUCUGAUUCAACUCCUAGCCUGGGAACUUCCAUAUACUGCGGGCGUGGCCCUAAAAAGACAACCAACAAACAAACAAAGAUAAGUCUUUUAGAUGUCAUCCUUAGGGUGAAAUUCUAUGACUAAUUUAAAUAGAGUAAAUUGAAGUAAUAAUGUUGAUUAUGAAAGUUGUUAAUUUUAUGUAACAAGAUUAUUGAGAACUUUCAAAUAGUUAAAUGUAUCGGGAAAUAAUUGAAAACACAGUUAUAAGAAAGAUUGAGGAGUUCCUGUCGUGGCUCAGUGGAAACAAAUCUGACUAGUAUCCAUGAGGAUGCAGGUUCAGUCCCUGGCCUCGCUCAGUGGGUUAAGGAUCUGGGGUGAUUUGACCCAUAGCCUGGGAACCUCCAUGUGCUGCAGGUGCGGCCCUAAAAAG
RNAcentral lists this long non-coding RNA (5614 nucleotides) under Sus scrofa (pig). Its description in RNAcentral is "lncRNA (ENSSSCG00000063504.1)". The record is from RNAcentral. Lineage: Eukaryota; Metazoa; Chordata; Mammalia; Artiodactyla; Suidae.